RNAcentral lists this non-coding RNA (175 nucleotides) under Chloroflexi bacterium HGW-Chloroflexi-10. RNAcentral's name for it is "6S RNA". It matches the Rfam family "6S / SsrS RNA". Rfam says of the family: E. coli 6S RNA was the first non coding RNA to be sequenced, but its function was unknown until recently. It consists of 184 nucleotides that fold into an extended hairpin structure with a large single-stranded internal bulge. Lineage: Bacteria; Bacillati; Chloroflexota. The record is from RNAcentral.
UUUACCCUGCUGUGCACGUGAUGUUGCACUACCGGUUUUGAGCCAACACCCUUAAAAUGGGGCUCAAUUCAGAAAGUGAACGCGAUAGGCUUGAGCCAAGGCGUAAACUUUCGAGCGGCCCCCUCCUGCUUCGGCAGGUUCAAAACUAUGCAGCACACGACAUGGUGGGGUUUUU